UACGUAGGGGGCAAGCGUUGUCCGGAAUCAUUGGGCGUAAAGAGCGCGUAGGCGGCCCAGUAAGUCCGCUCUGAAAGUCAGAGGCUCAACCUCUGAAUGCGGGUGGAUACUGCUGGGCUAGAGUCCGGAAGAGGCGAGUGGAAUUCCUGGUGUAGCGGUGAAAUGCGCAGAUAUCAGGAGGAACACCGAUGGCGAAGGCGGCUUCCUGGCCUGUUCUUGACGCUGAGGCGCGAAAGCGAGGGUAGCAAACGGG
RNAcentral lists this ribosomal RNA (253 nucleotides) under uncultured bacterium. RNAcentral describes it as "partial 16S ribosomal RNA". It matches the Rfam family "Bacterial small subunit ribosomal RNA", at positions 524 to 776 of the family's 1533-position model. The record is from RNAcentral.